RNAcentral lists this ribosomal RNA (408 nucleotides) under uncultured fungus. RNAcentral's name for it is "eukaryotic LSU rRNA". Lineage: Eukaryota; Fungi. The record is from RNAcentral.
AGAGUUAAACAGUACGUGAAAUUGUUGAAAGGGAAACGAUUGAAGUCAGUCAUGCUAGUGAAAAUUCAGUUUGGUGGGUUUUGGGUUCAGGAGUUGAGGCAGGGUCAAACCGUUUCUCUUUUGAACUUGGAAUUUGUCAGAUGCACUUUUUCUUUGGCAGGUCAGCGUCGAUUUCGGAGGUUGUAAAAUACUUGGGGAAAAGUAGCUCUGCUUCGGGGGAGUGUUAUAGACCUUGGGUGAUGCGGCCUGCGGGAUCGAGGAUUGCAGCAAAUGCUUUUUGGCUUGUCGCCUGAUCUCUGGACGUCAUCUCGCUUGUAUCAACAUUCUUGGUACCGGUGAGUAAUGGUGCUCAUAGGUUAGAACGAAUUACAUUCGUUAAGGAUGUUGACGUAAUGACUUUAAACGACC